RNAcentral lists this ribosomal RNA (380 nucleotides) under uncultured eukaryote. Its description in RNAcentral is "partial 18S ribosomal RNA". It matches the Rfam family "Eukaryotic small subunit ribosomal RNA", at positions 592 to 976 of the family's 1831-position model. The record is from RNAcentral.
CAAUAGCGUAUAUUAAAGUUGUUGCGGUUAAAAAGCUCGUAGUUGGAUUUCUGCCGAGGACGUCCGGUCCGCCCUCUGGGUGUGUACAUGGUACGGCCUGGGCAUCUUCUUGGAAAACGUAUCUGCACUUGACUGUGUGGUGCGGUAUCCAGGACUUUUACUUUGAGGAAAUUAGAGUGUUUCAAGCAGGCCUACGCCUUGAAUACAUUAGCAUGGAAUAAUAAGAUAGGACCUCGGUUCUAUUUUGUUGGUUUCUAGAGCUGAGGUAAUGAUUAAUAGGGAUAGUUGGGGGCAUUCGUAUUUAACUGUCAGAGGUGAAAUUCUUGGAUUUAUGAAAGACUAACAUCUGCGAAAGCAUUUGCCAAGGAUGUUUUCAUUGA